GUCGAACGGGGUUAACUUUUAACACCGAGCUUUUGAGGGGGACCUUGAAGGCUGGGAGUUAAGAGUUAACUUAGUGGCGGACGGGUGAGUAACACGUGAGCAACCUGCCCUUGAGAGGGGAAUAACGUCUGGAAACGGACGCUAAUACCGCAUAACAUAUCCAUUUGGCAUCGAGUGGGUAUCAAAGAUUUAUCGCUCAAGGAUGGGCUCGCGUCCGAUUAGGCAGUUGGCGGGGUAACGGCCCACCAAACCGACGAUCGGUAGCCGGACUGAGAGGUUGGACGGCCACAUUGGGACUGAGACACGGCCCAGACUCCUACGGGAGGCAGCAGUGGGGGAUAUUGGUCAAUGGGGGAAACCCUGAACCAGCGACGCCGCGUGAGGGAAGACGGUUUUCGGAUUGUAAACCUCUGUCUUUGGGGACGAUAAUGACGGUACCCAAGGAGGAAGCCACGGCUAACUACGUGCCAGCAGCCGCGGUAAUACGUAGGUGGCAAGCGUUGUCCGGAAUUACUGGGUGUAAAGGGAGCGUAGGCGGGGCUGUAAGUUGGAUGUUAAAUCUACGGGCUUAACUCGUAUCAGCAUUCAAAACUGUGGCUCUUGAGUGAAGUAGAGGCAGGCGGAAUUCCUAGUGUAGCGGUGAAAUGCGUAGAUAUUAGGAGGAACACCAGUGGCGAAGGCGGCCUGCUGGGCUUUUACUGACGCU
RNAcentral lists this ribosomal RNA (706 nucleotides) under uncultured bacterium. RNAcentral describes it as "bacterial SSU rRNA". It matches the Rfam family "Bacterial small subunit ribosomal RNA", at positions 61 to 747 of the family's 1533-position model. The record is from RNAcentral.